CCAAUUUCCAAUAGCGGAGGAAAAGAAACCAACAGGGAUUGCCUUAGUAGCGGCGAGUGAAGCGGCAAAAGCUCAAAUUUGAAAUCUGGCACCUUCGGUGUCCGAGUUGUAAUUUGAAGAUUGUAACCUUGGGGUUGGCUCUUGUCUAUGUUUCUUGGAACAGGACGUCACAGAGGGUGAGAAUCCCGUGCGAUGAGAUGCCCAAUCCUAUGUAAGGUGCUUUCGAAGAGUCGAGUUGUUUGGGAAUGCAGCUCUAAGUGGGUGGUAAAUUCCAUCUAAAGCUAAAUAUUGGCGAGAGACCGAUAGCGAACAAGUACAGUGAUGGAAAGAUGAAAAGAACUUUGAAAAGAGAGUGAAAAAGUACGUGAAAUUGUUGAAAGGGAAGGGUUUGAGAUCAGACUCGAUAUUUUGUGAGCCUUGCCUUCGUGGCGGGGUGACCCGCAGCUUAUCGGGCCAGCAUCGGUUUGGGCGGUAGGAUAAUGGCGUAGGAAUGUGACUUUGCUUCGGUGAAGUGUUAUAGCCUGCGUUGAUGCUGCCUGCUCUAUGACCGAUGGACUGCGAUUAUCAAGGACUCG
RNAcentral lists this ribosomal RNA (575 nucleotides) under Meyerozyma caribbica. Its description in RNAcentral is "eukaryotic LSU rRNA". It matches the Rfam family "Eukaryotic large subunit ribosomal RNA", at positions 37 to 616 of the family's 3401-position model. Lineage: Eukaryota; Fungi; Ascomycota; Pichiomycetes; Serinales; Debaryomycetaceae. The record is from RNAcentral.